RNAcentral lists this ribosomal RNA (497 nucleotides) under uncultured bacterium. Its description in RNAcentral is "partial 16S ribosomal RNA". It matches the Rfam family "Bacterial small subunit ribosomal RNA", at positions 28 to 507 of the family's 1533-position model. The record is from RNAcentral.
GAUGAACGCUGGCGGCGUGCCUAAUACAUGCAAGUCGAGCGAACAGACGAGGAGCUUGCUCCUCUGACGUUAGCGGCGGACGGGUGAGUAACACGUGGAUAACCUACCUAUAAGACUGGGAUAACUUCGGGAAACCGGAGCUAAUACCGGAUAAUAUAUUGAACCGCAUGGUUCAAUAGUGAAAGACGGUUUUGCUGUCACUUAUAGAUGGAUCCGCGCCGCAUUAGCUAGUUGGUAAGGUAACGGCUUACCAAGGCGACGAUGCGUAGCCGACCUGAGAGGGGGAUCGGCCACACUGGAACUGAGACACGGUCCAGACUCCUACGGGAGGCAGCAGUAGGGAAUCUUCCGCAAUGGGCGAAAGCCUGACGGAGCAACGCCGCGUGCGUGAUGAAGGUCUUCGGAUCGUAAAACUCUGUUAUUAGGGAAGAACAAAUGUGUAAGUAACUAUGCACGUCUUGACGGUACCUAAUCAGAAAGCCACGGCUAACUACGUG